UACGUAGGUGGCAAGCGUUGUCCGGAAUUACUGGGUGUAAAGCGCGUGUAGGCGGCAGGCCAAGUCUGCGGUGAAAGCGCCCGGCUCAACUGGGCGAGGUCCGUGGAAACUGGUCAGCUGGAGGACGGUAGAGGCGAGUGGAAUUCCCGGUGUAGCGGUGGAAUGCGUAGAGAUCGGGAAGAACAUCAGUGGCGAAGGCGGCCUGCUGGGCUGUUGCUGACGCUGAGGCGCGACAGCGUGGGGAGCAAACAGG
RNAcentral lists this ribosomal RNA (253 nucleotides) under uncultured bacterium. RNAcentral describes it as "partial 16S ribosomal RNA". It matches the Rfam family "Bacterial small subunit ribosomal RNA", at positions 524 to 776 of the family's 1533-position model. The record is from RNAcentral.